This is a long non-coding RNA of Xenopus laevis (African clawed frog), 1198 nucleotides long. RefSeq lists it as uncharacterized. The transcript has 3 exons. Lineage: Eukaryota; Metazoa; Chordata; Amphibia; Anura; Pipidae. The record is from RefSeq and is a predicted model, not a curated record.
GGCGGCCCUGUAUAUAGAGAGAGAGAGAGAGUAAGAAGGAUCAGCACUCACUGUAUUGAGUUAGAUGGAAAAGGCCCAUAGAACUUGUGGAGCACAACAACGGAUAAGGAAACGGUAAACCAAUCAACUUGAAAGUAUGGUGUUCGUUACUAACUAUAUGCCAGCGAGUCAGCAGGUAAAUACUACUAUUAAAAAACAUUGGCCAUUUUUACAAUUGGACUCUAGUCUGCUGUCCACUGUGAUGCCACCCCCUAUAGGUGCCUAUCGUCGAGGCCGGUCAUUGAAAGAUCUACUGAUGGUGACUCUACAGAAUGGGAAUGCUGACACUUGGUUACCAGUGAGUAAACCAGGAUGUUUUUGAUGUGGGGGAUGUAAGACCUGUGGAUGUUUAAUUACUAGUGGAACAUUUCCCCAUCCUCACACUGACAAUCCUCACCACAUGUGCUUUGGAUUCCCCACAACAGAUAAGCACUAAUGCCGAUGUUUCAAACACACCCCACCUUGGCGCAAAGGCAAAAAAAGGAAAAUAUUACAACCAGGCAAGAACUACUGAUUUACAUCAUGCAUUUGCUUUUAAUAUUGCCUCUAAACUGAGGAGGAUGGAAGAGGAACAGUGUUUGCUUGCUGAAAGCCUGACCACUCAAGUUUUACAAAAAAUCUGACAAUAGCACAUUUAUUGAACAUAUAGUAAACCUACAUCUAUACAACCAUCUAAAACUUACAUAUUCUUGACUCCUUACACUCAAAAACAAGCUUCUAACUUUGCCUCAUAACAGAAUCACCCCUGCAUAUAUUUCCCAUGAUUAAGCAGGUCUGGACUAGGAUUCAUAAUAAGCCCUGGCAUUUAAAAAGUCAGAGGCCCAAACAGACCCCCACCAGCCCAUGAAAUAAUGACAUCUUGCAGCAGCCCCAGAACUCACAGAUUGCCAGUCCAGGCCUGUGAUUAAGUAACCAAUUUCUUUCUCUUAAGAACCUACUGACUCCACACAGCUGCAGAGCUAUUACCCUACAACUAAAAUUUCUAGUGUCAGGCAAAUCUGGUCAAUGUACUGAUUGCUCGUGUUUUUUCUUACAUACUUGCUGCCUCUGUUAUAUUAUUUGCCUUCCACAACUAGUAAAAGGUGGAGUUUCCUCCCAGUCUGUUGCUUAGGGAUGGCUUCCUGACUAUAGGGGUAGAGAAUAAAUAUUUAAGAUUCUU